Non-coding RNA from Mus musculus (house mouse), 73 nucleotides. Lineage: Eukaryota; Metazoa; Chordata; Mammalia; Rodentia; Muridae. The record is from Rfam.
GGAGAGGUGGCUCAGUAGUUAAGAGCACUGGGUGCUCUUCCAGAGGACCAGGGUUCAAUUCCCAGCAUCCUCA